GAGGGAAAAAUCUAUGUACUACUCAAGAACACAAUCAGCUCUGCAAACACUGAAGUGCACCACACACACACACACACACACACACACACACACACACACACACACACGCGCAGACAGACACGGACAGAUACACAGACAGACACACAGACACGGACAGAUACACAGACAGACACACAGACACGCUGACAGACACGCAGACAGACACGCAGACAGACACACAUAGACAGACACGCAGACACGGACACGCAGACACGGACACGCAGACACGGACACGCAGACACGGACACGGACAGAUACACAUAGACAGACACGCAGACACAGACAGACACACACGCAGACACACACGCAGACACACACGCAGACACACACGCAGACACACACGCAGACACACACGCAGACACACACACGCAGACACACACACAGACACACACACACAGACACACACACACAGACACAGACACACACAGAGACACACACAGAGACACUUAUGAUCAUUAUCAUCAAUCUUCUUUUUAUUAUAAUAAUAAUGAUAAUAAUUAAGUAGUGGUAGUAUUAUCAGUAGUAUUAUCAGUAGUAUUAUCAGUAGUAGUAUCAGUAGUAUUAUCAGUAGUAGUAUCAGUAGUAUUAUCAGUAGUAGUAUCAGUAGUAGUAUCAGUAGUAUUAUCGAUCAUAGUAUCAGUAGUAGUAUCAGUAGUAGUAUCAGUAGUAUAGUACGUCUAGUAGUGGUAACUAGUGCUACGGUAAGUAUGAGCAGUAGCACAAAGGACACGUUAUUGUUCAUAAACACGUCCUGCAUAUAAACAGAUCCACUCGCGGUGUGUGUCAGACGUCUGCACCGAGUUCCACUCCACACCGACCCUUAACUUCACACCUUCAGAUGUUUCACAAACCACCGCCUGAGCACCAUCAGUGUUAUUAAAACAUCCUGAGCUUCACAUGUUCCAGCUAAACCAGUGAUGCUAAAGAAAAACAAACACGUGUGCGAGUGUGUGUGUGUGUGUGUGUGUGUGUGUGUGAGUGUGUGUGUGUGCGUCGAGAACGCGUGCAGCGUGUAAAUAUCAAACCCUGAGGUGAGUUACGGAGGUCAGAGCGAAACUCGGAUUUAAACGCCUCACAACAAAAUCCGUUUCGGGCGCGUGAGAAGAGGCUACAGCUAACAUCACGUAGCUUCAACCUCGUCACGUUUUUGUGCUACAUUCGGCCGUAAAAAACACGUCCUGGGCGACUGAACACGUGUAAACCGUGUAAAAUUUCAUUUACAGUCAAACAUUUAUGAAAAACCGCUUGAAGCUGGAUCCUCGAGUCGCAACGAAGAACAACAACAGAAGCAGCUGGACACGUUUCCGUGGCAAUAACUAAACCUGCACGUGUAGCUACAGCCGCGCUCACGUUUGUUUAACUGCGAAAACGCGAAGAAAUCAGGAGAUCUGUAAAGCCCCGCAGGUUCUCGUGUUGAACUCCAACACAGCCUGGAGCUCUGAGGAAGCGCGGCGUAGCGACCUGAAGUUCUCCCGAGGUGCUCGAACGAAGGACGCGUCUCAACGCGAGCUUCACACAACCCGCUGAACACUAAAAUCUGACCUCCACGUCAUCACCGCUCAAAAAGAGAAGAACAAAGAGAACCGUAUGAUUUCGUUUUAAACCUGUUCUGAACUUUCCAGAUUUACAACCUUCAGCUUUCUUCAUCAGCCUGUGCGGUCAAACCUGAUCGGCACCGCUCUUACAAAGUAACGCCUCCAGCCUGACGCCGUCGGAGAACCCUUUCACCCUCACGGUCUUUACAGAACCACCCAUUCACUCACUAGUGCCUCAAAGAGCCCAGAAACGGUUCUUCACAGCAGUGCCACAAGGUUCUCAAAGAACCUUCUUCUCGUCAAGAUCCG
Molecule: long non-coding RNA, 1883 nt
Organism: Ictalurus punctatus (channel catfish)
Lineage: Eukaryota; Metazoa; Chordata; Actinopteri; Siluriformes; Ictaluridae
Source: Ensembl